This 357-nucleotide ribosomal RNA is filed under the name Ergaula capucina. Its description in RNAcentral is "partial 12S ribosomal RNA". Lineage: Eukaryota; Metazoa; Arthropoda; Insecta; Blattodea; Corydiidae. The record is from RNAcentral.
UUAUGAUGUAAAUUUUUUUAUGCCUGAGUAGUAUUAGUUUUGUUCUUGAAACUUAAAGAAUUUGGCGGUAUUUUAGUCUUCUUAGAGGAAUCUGUCCCUUAAUCGAUAUUCCACGUUGAAUACUUACUUAAUUUAAUGUUUAUAUACCGCCGUAUAAUGAGAUAUCUUCUUAGAGUAGAAAAGUUUCUUGUUUUUAAUUGAAUUACUUUCAGGUCAAGGUUUAAUUUAUGAUUAAGUGGAGAUGGAUUACAAUAUUUUUUGAUUAGGAUGGAUCUUUUAUUGUAAUAGUUGAGGUGAAGGUGGAUUUAAUAGUAAUUUGAUUUAGAAUAUUUAGGUGAUCUUAGCUCUAUAAUAUGU